Molecule: ribosomal RNA, 580 nt
Filed under: Paracentrotus lividus (common urchin)
Lineage: Eukaryota; Metazoa; Echinodermata; Echinoidea; Camarodonta; Echinidae
Description: partial 16S ribosomal RNA
Rfam family: Bacterial large subunit ribosomal RNA
Source: RNAcentral
CGCUCCCCGAUAAAUAACAACAUGAGGAGUCCUGCCUGCCCAGUGACUAAAGGUUAAACGGCCGCGGUAUCUUGACCGUGCGAAGGUAGCAUAAUCAUUUGUCUUCUAAAUAAAGACUAGUAUGAAUGGCAAGACGGAACUGAACUGUCUCUUUUCCAAAUAAUCCGAAUUUCACUUCUCCGUGAAGAGGCGGAGGGUAAAAUCGUUAGACGAGAAGACCCUGUCGAGCUUUUAGCAAAAACUUAACUAGUAAAACACUUAAACUACUCUAGUAAAUGAAUGUAAGUAUAAUUAAGCUACUAAGAUUAAGUAAAGCUUUGGUUGGGGCAACCGCGGAGUAAAAGAAACCUCCGCUAAAAAAAUAUUAACCACUAAACUAAGGACUACCAUCCUAUAAUCAUAAAUGAUUAAAUUGAUCCAUUUAGAUGACCAAAGGAACAAGUUACCGCAGGGAUAACAGCGUUAUCUUUUCUGAGAGUUCACAUUGACGAAAAGGUUUGCGACCUCGAUGUUGGAUCGGGACAUCCUAAAGGUGCAGAAGCUUUUAAGGGUUGGUCUGUUCGACCAUUAAAGUCCUACG